Molecule: ribosomal RNA, 612 nt
Filed under: uncultured bacterium
Lineage: Bacteria
Description: bacterial SSU rRNA
Rfam family: Bacterial small subunit ribosomal RNA (bases 1-521)
Source: RNAcentral
CCUACGGGAGGCAGCAGUGGGGAAUAUUGGGCAAUGGAGGAAACUCUGACCCAGCGACGCCGCGUGCGGGAUGAAGGCCUUCGGGUUGUAAACCGCUUUCAGUAGGGAAGAAGCGAAAGUGACGGUACCUACAGAAGAAGCACCGGCUAACUAUGUGCCAGCAGCCGCGGUAAUACAUAGGGUGCAAGCGUUGUCCGGAAUUAUUGGGCGUAAAGAGCUCGUAGGUGGUUCGUCACGUCGGAUGUGAAAAUCUGGGGCUCAACCCCAGACCUGCAUUCGAUACGGGCGAUCUAGAGUGUGGUAGGGGAGACUGGAAUUCCUGGUGUAGCGGUGGAAUGCGCAGAUAUCAGGAGGAACACCAAUGGCGAAGGCAGGUCUCUGGGCCAUUACUGACACUGAGGAGCGAAAGCGUGGGGAGCGAACAGGAUUAGAUACCCUGGUAGUCCACGCCGUAAACGGUGGGCACUAGUUGUGGGAACCUUCCACGGUUUCUGCGACGCNGCUACGCAUAAGUGCCCGCCCGUCGGGAGGUACGAGUCGCGAGAGUUAAACGUACUAAAUAGAAGUUGACGGUCGUUGAGACGUUGCCGACGGCGACGACGAGGGAGGAGG